GCGAACGCUGGCGGCAGGCUUAACACAUGCAAGUCGAACGCAUCCUUCGGGGUGAGUGGCAGACGGGUGAGUAACACGUGGGAACGUACCCUUCGAUCUGGGAUAACUUCGGGAAACUGGAGCUAAUACCGGAUACGCCCUUUUGGGGAAAGGUUUACUGUCGAAGGAUCGGCCCGCGUCUGAUUAGCUAGUUGGUGGGGUAACGGCCUACCAAGGCGACGAUCAGUAGCUGGUCUGAGAGGAUGAUCAGCCACACUGGGACUGAGACACGGCCCAGACUCCUACGGGAAGCAGCAGUGGGGAAUAUUGGACAAUGGGCGCAAGCCUGAUCCAGCCAUGCCGCGUGAGUGAUGAAGGCCUUAGGGUUGUAAAGCUCUUUUGUCCGGGACGAUAAUGACGGUACCGGAAGAAUAAGCCCCGGCUAACUUCGUG
Molecule: ribosomal RNA, 432 nt
Filed under: uncultured bacterium
Lineage: Bacteria
Description: partial 16S ribosomal RNA
Rfam family: Bacterial small subunit ribosomal RNA
Source: RNAcentral